Molecule: ribosomal RNA, 323 nt
Filed under: uncultured eukaryote
Lineage: Eukaryota
Description: partial 18S ribosomal RNA
Rfam family: Eukaryotic small subunit ribosomal RNA
Source: RNAcentral
CCCUUAGAUGUUCUGGGCCGCACGCGUGCUACACUGAGUGGAUCAGCGGGUCAGGUUGCGCGAAAGUGUUUCCUAAUCUUUAAAUCCGCUCGUGAUGGGGAUUGACGGUUGCAAUUUUCCGUCAUGAACGAGGAAUACCUUGUAAGCGCGGGUCAUCAUCCCGCGCUGAAUACGUCCCUGCCCUUUGUACACACCGCCCGUCGCACCUACCGAUUGGAUGGUCCGGUGAGAAUUUCGGAUUGUGAUAUCGUCGCUUUAAUUAGGGAUGAUGUUGUGAGAAGUUAUUCAAACCUUACCAUCUAGAGGAAGGUGAAGUCGUAACA